RNAcentral lists this ribosomal RNA (425 nucleotides) under uncultured bacterium. RNAcentral describes it as "partial 16S ribosomal RNA". It matches the Rfam family "Bacterial small subunit ribosomal RNA", at positions 354 to 796 of the family's 1533-position model. The record is from RNAcentral.
GUGGGGAAUCUUGCGCAAUGGGCGAAAGCCUGACGCAGCCAUGCCGCGUGAAUGAUGAAGGUCUUAGGAUUGUAAAAUUCUUUCACCGGGGACGAUAAUGACGGUACCCGGAGAAGAAGCUCCGGCUAACUUCGUGCCAGCAGCCGCGGUAAUACGAAGGGGGCUAGCGUUGCUCGGAAUUACUGGGCGUAAAGGGCGCGUAGGCGGACAGCUUAGUCAGAGGUGAAAGCCCAGGGCUCAACCUUGGAAUUGCCUUUGAUACUGGCUGUCUUGAGUUUGGGAGAGGUGAGUAGAACUCCGAGUGUAGAGGUGAAAUUCGUAGAUAUUCGGAAGAACGCCAGUGGCGAAGGCGACUCACUGGCCCAAUACUGACGCUGAGGCGCGAAAGCGUGGGGAGCAAACAGGAUUAGAAACCCGUGUAGUCC